Molecule: non-coding RNA, 484 nt
Organism: Punica granatum (pomegranate)
Lineage: Eukaryota; Viridiplantae; Streptophyta; Magnoliopsida; Myrtales; Lythraceae
Source: RefSeq, a predicted model, not a curated record
CAAAAACACAUGUGAUGGAUCUGCUCCAAAUUCUCUCAGCUAGGAGACACCAACAACACGGAGGAAGGCAAAGACAUCAGGUUCUUUGAGCCAGCCACCACAUAUUGGCGAUUAGAUAUUAUUAGGCUUAUUGUGGCAGUCAGUCCGGCUGAAGAAAGAACCACAAAAGAAGAGAAAUAUGAUGAAUAUAAUCCUUUGGGAUGAUUAUAUGGCAUUGUUUAAGGAAACAAUGGAAGCACAUGAGUCUGACGUGAACGUUGUUUUUUUCACAUCCACAAGGGUGAGGAAUUUCCUUGGUUAUGUAAUGAGGACGAAUCAGACGAUGUAACACCAUACAUUUCUUUGGAUGUUCUUGAAGACUGAAGAAUUAAUUUGCAAUGGAUUAAGUUUAUAGUUAAAAUAACAUUAGAAUAUAUUUCAGAAUGUUCGUCAGAGUAUGACCAUAUGAUACAUUGUCAAAUUACAUCUUCUUCUCAUAUAUAUG